GGGCUUGUACUGGUUUCGACAGGGAUCUUGAAGAUGGAGAAGCUAUCCGCAGGCUGAUGCGUCAAAUCGCAAACUUAAAAUUAAACGCUAACGAUAAUUUCGAAUUAGCUGCAGCCUAAAUGCUGCAUGUCAGCCCUGAGGCACCCGCACCUUGGGAAUCUGGCACCGACGAUGUGGGAAACGAUAUCGGCAAAGCUUUGAACCGAUAGGCGUAUCAUGAAGCUACUGAAACCGUAAGGGUGUUGGUUCCCGUACGGCAGAGGGAAUGAAAAAGAACCGACUAUGAUAGUAGAAGUACAUGGGAUAGGUUUUUGGACGCGGGUUCGAUUCCCGCCAGGUCCACUA
This is a non-coding RNA of Clostridium sp. C105KSO13, 345 nucleotides long. It matches the Rfam family "transfer-messenger RNA". Rfam says of the family: Bacterial tmRNA, also known as 10Sa RNA or SsrA, is named for its dual tRNA and mRNA-like properties. Its role is to liberate the mRNA from a stalled ribosome. Lineage: Bacteria; Bacillati; Bacillota; Clostridia; Eubacteriales; Clostridiaceae. The record is from Rfam.